AUGAUUUGGACUAAGAGGCUGUAUUCAGCAAAGCUUGUUCAGGGCCAGGAUGUCAGAAAGCAUUUGGACAAUCUAAAGCAAUUAUUGAUUGAAGCUGAGGAAAGAGGCCUACAAUAUUCAGAAGCACAGAAGUGUUAUCUGGUGCUGUGCAGUUUGUCUGAGGAUUGGGACUUUCUGGUACAUUCUUUUCAGAAUGUGAGAGUCCAGGAAUUAACUUUGGAUUCAGUAUGUGGAAAAAUCUUAGAAGAAGUGGACCAAAGGUCUUUUGAACGGGCCCAGAAGCAGACGAUGGCGCAGUGCGACCAGGAGGGGGCGCAAGUGGUCGGCUUUGGUCCAGAUGGUGUUCCUGGGAAUCGUGAGGACGUUGCAGUACAUCAGGUCAAAACACGGCGUUGUUUUGUCUGCAACAAGCUGGGGCAUUUUGCCAGGAGUUGCCCAAACAACAAGACAAGAAAUUCUCGUGGGAACGGAGGGGCUAAGAGUUUGUCAACAACAACUAAGCCCCAGGUGUUUAUGGCUGCAGUGAAUGGAAGGAUCACCGAAAAGAACAAGUGGUAUUUGGACUCAGGUUGUACACACCAUGUUGUUACAAAUCUUAAACUUUUGAAAAACAGAAGGGAUGUGUCUGGAACAGCAGUGACUUUAGCUGAUGGAACUGAGAGGAAGUUCAACAAAUUGGGCACUGUGUUCAUCCCUUGCUUGAAUGUGGAUUGGGAAAAUGUACUUUACAUCCCAGAAUUAAGUUCUAAUUUGUUAAGUGUGGCUACCUUAACAGAGAAUGGAUAUAGAGUAAUUUUUAGCGGAAUCUAUUGCUAUAUUCAAAGAGAUGGACGAGUAGUGGCAAAAGGUGUAAAAAGGAACAAAAUGUAUAUGAUGUUUGACAAGAAUAAUUUUCCAGAUGGGGCACAAGUCCAUUGUGUAAAACAGAAGAUUAUGCAUGACAGGUGUAUCCAUCAUCUUCACAGAGCGAUGGGUCAUGCACAUGUAGAGGUGCUCAGAAAGACUUUAGAAAUAUGCACAGAUUUUGAGUGUGAGAAAUGUGAAAAUUUGUUAGACUGUGCAGUUUGUUCAGAGAUGGAAAUUGAAUCAAAAGAGCAUCCUAAAAGAUCUGGAAUUAAGGCCAAGGAAAUGUUUGAAAUAGUCCAUCUGCAUGUGACAGAAUCUGAUGUGAAAAGCCAGGGAGGUUCUCAAUUUUGUUUACUGUUAGUUGAUAGACACACAAGUUUUGGUUUUGUAUACUUCCUUAAAGAUUUGAAGGAAGCUGUUGUAAAGGUGUCUAAUUGGAUAGGCAUGGUUCAAAGGGUCUAUGAACAGCAUGUAGGUCAAAUAGUUUUUGACAAAGGAAUUAAUGUGUGUAAUGAAGAAAUGAAGAAAAUGUUGAGUGAAAGGAAUAUAGGAUUUAAAAAUGUAAAAUCAAAUAAGCCAAAUGAAGAAGGCGUGGCUCAAAAUAGGAUGAAGCAAAUUCUUCACAUGAAUGAGUGUUUAAUUACAGAUUCCAAAAGCUCAACUAAGAAUUGGCCAGAGUGUUCACACACAAGUAAUUAUAUUUUAAACAGGUUAUGGGAUGAGGAAUUGGAUGACAUCCCAUUUCGGAGAAUGUACAAAAAAUCUCCAAGUUUAAAACACCUAAGAAUUUAUGGUCAGUACGCCCAGGUAUAA
This is a long non-coding RNA of Anolis carolinensis (green anole), 1659 nucleotides long. NCBI's taxonomy places the organism in Eukaryota, Metazoa, Chordata, Lepidosauria, Squamata, Anolidae. The record is from Ensembl.